UGAUUUCAACAAUGAAGCGAGUGGCGAACUGGUGAGUAACACGUGGGGAAUCUGCCCAGAAGCAGGGGAUAACACUUGGAAACAGGUGCUAAUACCGUAUAACAACAAAAUCCGCAUGGAUUUUGUUUGAAAGGUGGCUUCGGCUAUCACUUCUGGAUGAUCCCGCGGCGUAUUAGUUAGUUGGUGAGGUAAAGGCCCACCAAGACGAUGAUACGUAGCCGACCUGAGAGGGUAAUCGGCCACAUUGGGACUGAGACACGGCCCAAACUCCUACGGGAGGCAGCAGUAGGGAAUCUUCCACAAUGGACGAAAGUCUGAUGGAGCAAUGCCGCGUGAGUGAAGAAGGGUUUCGGCUCGUAAAACUCUGUUGUUAAAGAAGAACACCUUUGAGAGUAACUGUUCAAGGGUUGACGGUAUUUAACCAGAAAGCCACGGCUAACUACGUGCCAGCAGCCGCGGUAAUACGUAGGUGGCAAGCGUUGUCCGGAUUUAUUGGGCGUAAAGCGAGCGCAGGCGGUUUUUUAAGUCUGAUGUGAAAGCCUUCGGCUUAACCGGAGAAGUGCAUCGGAAACUGGGAGACUUGAGUGCAGAAGAGGACAGUGGAACUCCAUGUGUAGCGGUGGAAUGCGUAGAUAUAUGGAAGAACACCAGUGGCGAAGGCGGCUGUCUAGUCUGUAACUGACGCUGAGGCUCGAAAGCAUGGGUAGCGAACAGGAUUAGAUACCCUGGUAGUCCAUGCCGUAAACGAUGAGUGCUAAGUGUUGGAGGGUUUCCGCCCUUCAGUGCUGCAGCUAACGCAUUAAGCACUCCGCCUGGGGAGUACGACCGCAAGGUUGAAACUCAAAGGAAUUGACGGGGGCCCGCACAAGCGGUGGAGCAUGUGGUUUAAUUCGAAGCUACGCGAAGAACCUUACCAGGUCUUGACAUCUUCUGCCAAUCUUAGAGAUAAGACGUUCCCUUCGGGGACAGAAUGACAGGUGGUGCAUGGUUGUCGUCAGCUCGUGUCGUGAGAUGUUGGGUUAAGUCCCGCAACGAGCGCA
This 1040-nucleotide ribosomal RNA is filed under the name Levilactobacillus brevis. Its description in RNAcentral is "bacterial SSU rRNA". It matches the Rfam family "Bacterial small subunit ribosomal RNA", at positions 71 to 1100 of the family's 1533-position model. The record is from RNAcentral. Lineage: Bacteria; Bacillati; Bacillota; Bacilli; Lactobacillales; Lactobacillaceae.